GAAGCACGGCCCCAUCAAGAAGCUCGAUAUGGACGAAGGGAUGACGAUGGUGUUCCGGGUCCAGGAUCCUGCGGUGCUGAAGACCGUCAAGGUCGGUGAUAAGGUUAAGUUCGAUGCCGACCGGGUCAAUGGUCAGAUCACCGUGACCACUCUUCAAAAAUCCAAGUAAGAGAUCGGAACGGUUGCGAUCGAUUCAAAUUGUCGAGCACGAUCGCAAUCUAA
Molecule: unclassified non-coding RNA, 222 nt
Filed under: Hevea brasiliensis (rubber tree)
Lineage: Eukaryota; Viridiplantae; Streptophyta; Magnoliopsida; Malpighiales; Euphorbiaceae
Source: RNAcentral